This 799-nucleotide ribosomal RNA is filed under the name uncultured bacterium. RNAcentral describes it as "bacterial SSU rRNA". It matches the Rfam family "Bacterial small subunit ribosomal RNA", at positions 8 to 796 of the family's 1533-position model. The record is from RNAcentral.
AGAGUUUGAUCAUGGCUCAGGACGAACGCUGGCGGCGUGCCUAAUACAUGCAAGUCGAGCGGUUGAAGCCUUCGGGCUGAGAUAGCGGCGGACGGGUGAGUAACACGUAGGUAACCUGCCUAACAGACUGGGAUAACUACCGGAAACGGUAGCUAAGACCGGAUACGAUCAUUUGGGGGCAUCCUUGGAUGAUGAAAAGCGGAGUAAUCUGCUACUGAUAGAUGGACCUGCGGCGCAUUAGCUAGUUGGUGAGGUAGUGGCUCACCAAGGCGACGAUGCGUAGCCGACCUGAGAGGGUGAACGGCCACACUGGGACUGAGACACGGCCCAGACUCCUACGGGAGGCAGCAGUAGGGAAUCUUCGGCAAUGGACGAAAGUCUGACCGAGCAACGCCGCGUGAGUGAUGAAGGUUUUCGGAUCGUAAAACUCUGUUGCCAGGGAAGAAUGGCUAGGCGAGUAACUGCGCUUAGUAUGACGGUACCUGAGAAGAAAGCCCCGGCUAACUACGUGCCAGCAGCCGCGGUAAUACGUAGGGGGCAAGCGUUGUCCGGAAUUAUUGGGCGUAAAGCGCGCGCAGGCGGUCAUUUAAGUCUGGUGUAUAAACCAAGGGCUCAACCUUUGGACGCAUUGGAAACUGGGUGACUGGAGUGUAGGAGAGGAAAGUGGAAUUCCACGUGUAGCGGUGAAAUGCGUAGAGAUGUGGAGGAACACCAGUGGCGAAGGCGACUUUCUGGCCUAUAACUGACGCUGAGGCGCGAAAGCGUGGGGAGCAAACAGGAUUAGAUACCCUAGUAGUCC